Molecule: ribosomal RNA, 253 nt
Filed under: uncultured bacterium
Lineage: Bacteria
Description: partial 16S ribosomal RNA
Rfam family: Bacterial small subunit ribosomal RNA
Source: RNAcentral
UACAGAGGUCCCAAGCGUUGUUCGGAUUCACUGGGCGUAAAGGGUGCGUAGGUGGCGGGGCAAGUCUGACGUGAAAUCUCCGGGCUUAACCCGGAAAUGGCGUUGGAAACUACCUUGCUUGAGGGUUGGAGGGGGGACUGGAAUACUUGGUGUAGCAGUGAAAUGCGUAGAUAUCAAGUGGAACACCAGUGGCGAAGGCGAGUCCCUGGACAACUCCUGACACUGAGGCACGAAAGCUAGGGGAGCAAACGGG